UGGGGAAUUUUGCGCAAUGGGCGAAAGCCUGACGCAGCAACGCCGCGUGGGUGAUGAAGGUCUUCGGAUCGUAAAACCCUGUCGUCAGGGACGAAGGGUUGCGACCUAAUACGUCGUAACUUUGACGGUACCUGGAGAGGAAGCCCCGGCUAACUCUGUGCCAGCAGCCGCGGUAAUACAGAGGGGGCAAGCGUUAUUCGGAAUUAUUGGGCGUAAAGGGCGCGUAGGCGGUGUUUUAAGUGAGAUGUGUAAUCCCCGAGCUUAACUUGGGAACUGCAUCUCAGACUGGGACGCUAGAGUGCUGGAGAGGGUGGUAGAAUUCCACGUGUAGCGGUGAAAUGCGUAGAGAUGUGGAGGAAUACCAGUGGCGAAGGCGGCCACCUGGACAGUAACUGACGCUGAGGCGCGAAAGUGUGGGUAGCAAACAGG
RNAcentral lists this ribosomal RNA (429 nucleotides) under uncultured bacterium. RNAcentral describes it as "bacterial SSU rRNA". It matches the Rfam family "Bacterial small subunit ribosomal RNA", at positions 355 to 776 of the family's 1533-position model. The record is from RNAcentral.